RNAcentral lists this long non-coding RNA (25563 nucleotides) under Hordeum vulgare. Its description in RNAcentral is "long non-coding RNA (HVUL_LNC002019)". Lineage: Eukaryota; Viridiplantae; Streptophyta; Magnoliopsida; Poales; Poaceae. The record is from RNAcentral.
CAGGAUUAAUCUUGUCUUGGUAGAUAGUGAUUUGACAAGAACGGAACCAAAAGUAGAUACGUACAAGCAAGAAGCAAGCGACACGGACGGACCGACCCAUAAUACUUGCCGAUUCAGUGGGGUAGGGCCCCUCAUCCCUCAAUUACCAAUCACAAUCUUACACAUCAGUUUUAACGUAAAAUCUUUACGUAAGCCUUAAGCCUUUACAGGUGUAGGCCGAUCCAUCCAUCCUUUUACAGUACCGCACACGCGUACACAAUCAAAGACAAGCAGUUGAGUUGAAGCAUACGACGUUCCACCAGACCAGCUCCAGGUUGAUGAAGACGCAGCAGGCGGCAACAUGUCAGGAGGUUGGCAGUUUAAAACAGUCGCAACCUCCCGAGAUGCCAUCAGCUGAGGCUUGACCACCACCAGCAGCAGCAGGAAGAAGAUGGCCGAGACCCAGCUGAAGACGCAGAAACUAGGGAUGGGAUUGGGAUGGACCAGUUGCUUGUUCAAAUAGAAGGCAACCGAAUCCGUCCACGGCCGACGCGACGGGGAACUAACUCCAGAUCUAGCUCUAGGGAUUGCAGGUAGAUUAUUUAGCUCCGUCCUCUGCCGCGCGCACUAAAACGAGCGCAGAGUAAGCAGCAGAGGACCCUUAACAUCGACCGAGCGGCAACAACUCCGGUUCACUUGGCGUCGGCCGAGAUACCGCCGGCGCCGUUCUUGUCGGCGCGGACGAGCCCCGCGGCCAUGUUGGCGACCGCGGCGACCAUGUCCUUGACGAUCUUCUCCUUCACCUGGCCACGCCGUGGAGGCGGCGCGGCCCCCCUCGGCGCCCUGCUGCCGCCGCCGCCGGCGCGGGCAUCGCCGGAGCUUGAGCCUGGUAGCCCUUGGUGGCCAUUCUUCCGGCGAGGGGAGAAGAGGAGGGCAGUGCUGGCUUGGCUUGGACGGCAAGAGAGUACUAGCGCUGCUGGUGUUGUGGGUGAUGCUAGCAGAACAUUGGAGAUGGUGUGGAUGGGGAGGCCAAUCCGCACCACGGGAAAAGGCGCGUCCACGUCUGGCCAGCUACGUACCUAAGCAUAUCGAUUUUGUCCGUUUUACGUUUGGGGUCGAUGUCCACACUACGGACACGUACAACCGGUUGAUGUAUUGUGGAACGCAGAAGAAACAAGGCAUACAUGCCAGGUCGGCGCGCGGCGGCGUUGGAGAACGAUCUGGGGCGACACGUGCCGGACGAGUCUCGAGGCGGGAGGAGGUGCGACGACGCGUGCGAGACGAGUCCAGAAGGAAGGAAAAAGUCCAUUUUAAACCGUAAACUCGUAGUGGUUGACGAAAUGAACCCCAAACUCAAAAUCCCUAUCGAUUGCAUCCUAAACUAUGCAAUCCCCGGUCUAAAUCGAACCCUGGAACUGUUUGUCAAACCGGGAUUGCAAAGGAUGGUCGGGAUUGUUUUAUUUCAGAGGUGAGGGUGAGAUAUCUGAGGCGUCGGAGGAGCAGAUACCGGUGUGUGUUUUUCCGUCGUGCGUCCAUGCAUGCAGGGCUCGAUGACGGCACUGAGAUACACCACCCGCGCGACCAAGAUCGUCGGGAGCACGAGCAAGAGCGGGAGCGCGAGCACGGGCACGACAGGAGAAGCGAGGAGCGUGAGCGCGGCAGGAGGAGCGAGGAGCGCGAGCAGGAGCAGGGAGGACAGGAGGAGGAGCAGGGCCACGGCGGCGAGCAGGAGAAAUCGAGGGGCUACAGGCAGGUGAGCGCCGAGAUCAAGGUGGGCUCUGUGAUCGUGCUCCCGGCUGGUCACCCGGCGACGUUCGUGUCUGGGAACGAGGGGAACCUCGCCCUGCUGUCCUUCGGCGUGGGCGCCAACAACGACGAGGAGGUGUUCGUGACCGGCGGGAACAACGCGCUGAAGCAGCUGGACGAGGCGGCCAAGGCGCUGGCAUUCCCCCAGCAGGUGAGGGAGCUGGCGGACAAGGUCAUCCGCGCGCAGACGGAGGCCGUGUUCCACGACGGCCCGCAGCAGCAGCGCCGCGUCGUCUUCGACAUGUGAGCAGCGACGAUCUCAACUCGAGUGUGCGCAUGCAUGCAAUUCGUGGAGCUGCUUGCAUGCAUGAGUGAUGAGUGUAAAUGUGGGGCGGGAAUAAAAAGCUAGUAGUACGUACGCGCGGCACCGUUUGAGUCAAGAUGGACACCGUACGGAUAACUUGUCUGGUUGAAUGCUUCCGUUGGGUCAAAUUGUGUAUCUGAAUGAUCCAAACGGACAAAAUAUGGUCAUGCGUUAAAGUUGCCCUUGCGUACACAACACUAGUACUCCCUCCGAACCCUUUUAGUUUGCCCAUAACUUUUUCUCACCUUGCCGCCUCUUUAGUGAUGUGUGAGUAGUUUUAUGAGGACCUACAGGUCUAUAACAUAGUUUUAAAUAGCUCCGCUAUAGCCUUUAUAGCAGGAUGCCGCUAAAUGAUAUCAUGUACAAACAAGACGUUAUAGCCCGCUAUAGCUGAUUUGCAGGUCCGCCGCUAUUUGCCAUAGCCCGCUAUUUAAAACAUUGGUCUAUAGCAGUACCUAAAUGGAUCUCUUUGUCUCUCGUUUUAUCUUCAAUACAAUAAUCUUUUCGCAGGCCUAUCCAAUGUAAUAUUUGUGGUGUGUUUAUUCGGAUCCAAUGAAUUAUGAGUUUAUUUUGAAAUUUAUCAUUAAAAGUAAUUGAUCUAAUCUGUGAUUUAUUAUGUGUGAUUUAAUAUAGGUAUGUAUGCUUUCCGAUCUAUAAGUUUGUUUUGGCCAAGUAGAUGAGUAGAUCUUCAAAGGAAAUGGUGCAUAGUAGUAGGUUCAAUCUCGUGUUGUCCUCACUAUAUAACAGGAGAAGUAGGGAGUCACGUAUUUGGAUUGUUGCUGCUAAAGGUUAAACAAUCAGGUCUAAACAUAUUAUUUGGUCUUACUUUGUCUAUAUUAUAUCAUCUUGCUCCAAGUAUUACUCUGUUUGUUAUGAACUUAAUACUAGCCAUCAGCAAGUUUAACUUUCUACUUAUCAUAGAUGUAAUGGAUGUAUAUUGAUCAUGUCAUGAAUAACGAUAUACUUAUUCAUUUUUCUAUCAAUUGUUCAACAUUAAUUUAUGCAACCACCGCUACUAUGCUCAUGAGAGAGAUGCCUCUAAUGAACGCUAUGACCCCUGGAUCCAUUCACCUAUUUUAUAUUCUAAAAAAUAUAAAAAUAAUUGAUACAUUUUAUUAUAUUUUUAUUUAUGAUUAUCUAUAUUGCACUAUCAGAUUUGAUCCUUGCAAUUCGCGAGUACAAUGGGCUUGACAACCCUCUUAUCCGUGUUAGGUGCAAGUAUUUGCUUUUGUGUGCAAGUAUUGUUAAUAGUUUUUUGCGUGCUUUUCUAUCGAUUCAAUAAACAUUGGUUCUUAUAUAAGGAAACUACUUAUUGAUACUUUACCACAUCACACUUUCUCUUCGGGAAAAAGCCCAAUGCCAUCACAAGUAGCAUUGAUUUUCAGGACGCCCAACUUCUCUGGAUCCUCCACCGCAACCAUCUAUGACAACUUUUCAUACGGGUCCAUGUGACAGUGGCAUGAUUGUGGAUCCCGGGCGCGUCCUAGGGCAUGGCCUGGACCGACAUGAUAGUAGUGACCGUUGAUGGGUGGAGGAUUGAGGGAGAGGAGUGGGCUGGUGACGUGACAUCCUAGGGUUAAGUCGUGAAUGGGAGGGACAGGUCGUCGCGUGGGGUGAGGUGAAAGAGAUGCGCAAGGGUUCUGUUUGAGAGGGGAGAGGAAAAAGAUCGAACAAACAAAAAGCCGAAGCAGGAGGUGGGAAGGCAUUGGAUGAAGUCACACGACCCAAUAAGGAAAGGGAAAUUAAGUUCUUUUUAGGUAGUGGAAAUAGAGAUGUUUUGAUGUAUGCUUUUUUCAUAGAGAUUGUACAUUUUUGUAUACAAUAGGAACAUUUCUUAUACUUGUUUUACAUUUUCAAGUACACAUAUACUUCCUUUGUUCCUAAGUAUGAGUCUUUUAAGAAGUUUCGCUAGAAGGCUACCUAAAGAUGCAUAUAGAUAUACUUUAGAGUAUAGAUUUAUUCAUUUUGCUUCGUAUGUAGUCCCCUAGUGAAAUUAAAAAAAACUUAUAUUUAGAAACGGAGGGAGUAUAUGUUUUAUGUCUACUCUUUUUUCAUAGUCUCUCUACAUUUUUGGUACACAUAAGAUUUUUUUAUUGUACACGUUCAACACUUUCAUGAUUAACUUUUCUUAUACACUUCGUAUAUUUUUUAAAUGCAAAUGAUAUAUUUUUCAUACACAUUUAACAUUUUUUAAAUGUAUGAUUGAUAUUUUUUAAAUAUAUAUUUGGAUUUAGAUUGCAUAUUUUGAUGUGGUUUGUGAGGUUUGACUUUUCCACAAACCUAUAUGCACUACGUCAUGGAAUAGAUCAAUUUUUAAAUACAUGAUUGCUAUUUUUUUAAAAUAUAUGUUUUGAUGUUUGCUUUUUUCAUAUGCAUUAUCCACAAGAUUUUUCUUCUUAUACUCAUUUAUUUGGUUUUCACCGAUUCUUUAUUUUUGUCAACCCGUGUGUACUUUUUUUCAUACACAUUGUGCAUUUUUAGUAUACAUGUGAAACAUUGUUUUGAUACACAUCAAACAUUUUCCAGUAGAAGGAUGUACAUUUUUUCAAAUACAUGUAUGAACAUUUUUUCGAAUACAUGUUAUACAUUUUUCAAAUACAUGUUGCAGAUUAUUAAUUUUUUUUGUUUUGAGACGAUGCACAAUUUUUUAUUGGUUGAAAACAUUUUUCUCAUGCGCGCUCAAGUCAUGGGCCGUGGGAAGGCCCACGCGACCGACCGGUUCAUAGGCAUUGCAAAUAAUAAGCCGACUAAAAAAAAGGCGUUGCGAAUAAGCUGUCAGCGUUAGAAUCCUCUUCCUCUCACGCCGCCGCGCCGCCAGUCCCGCUGUGUGCCGUCCUCAGCUGCCGCCGCCCACCCCGACAGCCAAACGUCGUGCCGGCCGUACUCCCCGCCGCCCCCUCCACCUCGCCUUCCCUCCGAAGCCCACCCCGCGGCUCGGCGAUCUCCCCAGCGUACAUCAGCCACCCAACGCCGACCAUGGGUUUCGCGCAGCUCGUCAUCGGCCCCGCCGGCAGCGGCAAGGUGAUUGAUUGUCUCCGAUUCCCGCCCGCUCCCUCUUUCGCUCCAUGCUUAACUCAGUCUCCAGCUUUAAUUUGGCCGGGGACGGAUUGAUUCGUCGUUCUGACCAACUAGGGUUCUGCGCUGCUUAUUUUGCCCUCCUGCUUUGUUUUAAUACCAAGUUUGUGAUGUGUUUGAUGUGCUUUGGUCCCUGUUUAGACGUGAUUUCAGACCAAGUAAUGUACUACCUCCGUUCCUAAAUAUAAGUUUUUUUUAGAGAUUUCACUAUGAACUACAUACCGAUUUAUAUAGACAUGCUUUAGAAUGUAGAUCACUCAUUUUGCUCCGUAUGUAGUUCUUAAUAGAAUCUCUAAAAAUACUUAUAUUUAGGAACAGAGGGAGUAGUCAUCUUCUUUUUAAUUAUACCUGUCCAAAGAAUUUGAGAUUGGAGCGGGUUGGGUUGAACGGGAGGUUAGAGUAUGAUUAUGGGGAAGCUGAGAAAUACUCCCUCUGUUCUUAUCAGUUGUUAAUCAUAUGCAGUCGACCUACUGCUCUGGUCUAUAUCAACAUUGCGAGACGGUGGGCAGGAGGAUUCAUAUGGUCAACCUGGAUCCAGCUGCAGAGCACUUCAGCUAUCCUGUAUCUACUGGUAAGAUUACCUGCACGCUCUUGUGCACAUAGGGCUCUUACUCACCCCUGUUUGGUAUUUUUGUAGAUAUUAGAGAGCUCAUAUCACUGGAUGAUGUCAUGGAGGAGCUUGGGAUGGGACCAAAUGGCGGCCUCAUCUAUUGCAUGGAGUAUCCUGUUGUUUGAAACCUGUUAAUUUGUUGUUGAUUGUUGUCUUCCAAGCUGUUUGGUUAUAAAGGGACCCCUUAUUGGCAUAUUGUCUACUAUGUAUUUCUGUUCUGUAUUGGUACUUAUAAGCGGGUUGGAGGUGCAACAUUUCACUGCUGGAGCUGAACUGGUCUUAAUAGCACAUCCCAGCAAUUGUUACUCUAGUAUAUUGAUGCUCACAAAUUUAUUACAUGUUAGUUUGGAAGACCUACUUUCGCGGCAGUUAGAACUGGUGCAUCGUCUAGAUCAUCUUUGUGCGAUGUUUGCGCAUAUACCUUGUUAUGUCUAGAAUUUAACCGCCUUCUGUUUUGUUUUCACCAGCAAAAGUUACAUGUAGAUGCUCCAGGAGCAAAUAGUUUUGCUGUACCUGCAUGUUCUGUUAGCUGGAUAGUAGAUACUAUGAUGCUAAGUUAUAGUUUCAAUUUGCUGCUCCAUUUGUUGAAGUCAUUUGCACGGAUGCUGCCUUUCACACUUCGGAUUGAAUGACAUUGCCAUCAUGUGAAUUUUAUUAGUGAAUCAAGAGCUCUGUUUGUCAUCUACUAGGAUCUGGCUGAACUCAUUUUAUGCAAUUCAAAAGGAUGUGAGUACUCUUUAUUUGCAUAAAAACUACUCCCUCGGUUCACAAAUAUAAGAUGUUUUGGAUAUUUGAUGAGUAUGGACUACAUAUGGAGUAAAAUGAGUGAACAAACACACUAAAACAUGUCUAUAUGCAUCCGAUUCACGAAUAAGCUAGAACAUCUUAUAUUUGUGAACGGGGGGAGUAUCAUUUUAGGAUCUUAUGCUGGCUGUUGUUGUUUCCUUAAGAAACCCUUAGGCACCUUGAAGACAAUUUGGAUGAUUGGUUGGAUGAACAAUUGGAAAACUACCUGGAUGAUGACUAUCUUGUGUUUGAUUGUCCAGGUAAUAUUCUUAAUGCAUGUUUGCAUACUCUAAUUAUAUCUUGUUAGUUAGUUGGACUAUUUCAUGUCACCUACUAUUCUUACCACCUACAUGUGCCUAACAUAAUGAAUUUCCUUUUACUUCUUAUGUUAAAAUUAUGCAUUACUGUGUAAAUGGUGCCAUCUUUACAUCUCUCGUAUGCGGUUCUGUAGCAUGUCCUAUUAUAUGAAAAUCGGAGAUAGCUAGAUUGCUUAACAUUACAUGAAAGCAGUUAACCCAGAUUCCACAUCUUGCUUUGGCAGGCCAGAUUGAACUCUUCACUCAUGUUCCAGUUCUGCGUAAUUUUGUUGAGUAUCUGAAACGGAAAAAUUUCACUGUUUGCGCCGUGUACCUUUUGGAUUCGCAGGUUUGAAUCACUAAUGUAGUUUUCCUUUACGACAACACUGUACUCAAACACCAGACUAAUAUCUGUUUGUUUUUCUUGGUACAGUUUGUCAGUGAUGUCACAAAAUACAUUAGCGGUUGCAUGGCUUCUCUUUCUGCUAUGAUUCAACUUGAGCUUCCUCAUAUCAACAUCCUUUCAAAGAUGGACCUUGUUUCCAAUAAAAAAGAUGUAGAAGAGUAUGUCCUCUUUAAAUUUUUUUCUCCCAUACUUAGCUGUAACAUUUUAAGGUUGCCCUUUUUUUUACUGAUGAUGUUUUGUAUUUUAGCUAUCUGAACCCCGAAGCACAGGUUCUUCUGUCACAGCUUAAUCGGCAGAUGGCACCUCGUUUUCACAAGUUAAACAAGGCUUUAGCUGAACUGGUAUGCCUUCCAUGAACCUGUAAACUAAAUAAAAACUCUCAUGCUUUAUGAAGACAUAUAACUGUUAAUGUAUUGUGGUCAACUAUGUCUCUGUUAUGUCAUAAACCCAUAAUUGCAGGACGUCUAUCUGUUGUUUUAUCCGUUAUGUUUCUGAUGAAAUUGUUUCUUAAGGAAAGCUCUUUAUCCUGUUUUGGUAGGUAAUUUGCUCUAAUAUUGUGUCUCUGCCUCCAAUAUUGAUGUCAGCACCACUAUCAUGUAGGUUGAUGAUUACAACAUGGUGAAUUUCAUACCACUUGAUUUGAGGAAGGAGAGCAGGUAUUCCUGUUUGUUUUCUUGGUUUAAUUGAAAUCUCAGCCCUUGUUUACACGCCUAAGCAUUCCCUCUUUUCUGCUCAAGUUAUCGAAGAGCUCUUUGCCACUUGUAUUUCUAAUCGAUCCUUAGACAUGCUACUUGUACUAGUACGCUUGUGGAUGCAACAUUAACAUCUACUCCCUCCGUUCCUAAAUAUAAGUCUUUCUAGAGGUUCAACUAAUGGACCACAUACGGAUGUAUAUAGACACACUUUAGAGUAUAGAUUCAUUCAUUUUGCUUCGUAUGUAGACAUCUAGUGAAAUAUCUUAAAAGACUUAUAUUUAGGUACAGAGGAAGUAUCUGGAAGACACAUUCCCUCCUUGCCAGAUUCAAAUUUCUGGUGGGGUGGUGGUAUAAUAGCACACUUAACAAUUUGCUCUACUACUUUUGUGCUGUUCCAUUUUUUUGCUGUACCUGUCUGGUCUUUCUGGAAAAUAGUACUAAUAAUUAUGGAAUCAGCACUAUACCGAGCGUGAAAAAUUCCACCUUGAGAUGAUUGUUCAGUUGAAAUUUAUGUGCUAUACUGGUUUAAUUUGUAGUGCUGCAGUGAAACAAAAUGCUGGAGCAACGUUGAAGUGUAGCAUUUCCAUCUGCCACACUUGAUAUUAAAUUUCCAGUUAUUUCCAUGUCAUGUAUGGACCAGUUAGCCUAGAGUCUUGGCAGAUUUAUCUAUCUGGUUGUGUUUUUUAGUAUCCCUGACCAUCCUUGCUUUUGCAGCAUUGAGUAUGUGCUGUCAAACAUCGACAACUGCAUCCAGUACGGGGAAGACGCCGAUGUGAAGGUCAGGGACUUCAUUCCUGAGGAGGAGGAUUAACCAUUUUGAUCAAGCAGAAGCAACAAAUUAACCUGUAUCAUGUAGUGUGGGUCCAUGGGAGGAGAUGGUAGCGCUGAACAGGUAGAAGCGCCAUGUAUCUGUUUCAGUCGUUGGUCGAAAAAACAAGACAGAAUGCAUCUGCAAAGAAUGUGUGGGUCUCCUUAUGCUUGUGUGGUUGGUAACUAGCAACUGCCUUUAAACAAAUCAUCCUCACGGCAUCAUACAUGAGUGGUAAAAUACCUAAAAUAGUGUAUGCGCCAAUGCACCAAUUCUGCUCCUUUUUUUUAUUGAACACAAGGUGAAUUCUGGUCAGCGUAAUGUCAGUUAUAUUUUGGAGGCGCUAGGUUUUGGAAAGUCUGUCAGAUUGUAUAUAGCACUUCAUUGCAAGGUUAUUCCUUAUUUAGACCGUGUUCGGUAAUCCUCCUGCUCCAGAAAUCCGCGGAGCUGGAAAACUGCAGCUCUUGCUUUUUUAACUGCAGCUCCACCAGCUCCUGGAGCAGAGUUGCGAUCAAUGGCUUCCCCCUACACACAUGAAGUCUUAGUCUGCAAAAUGCAAUUUAAAGUUUCAACGGACAGAGGGAAAGCAUACGCUUGAUCUUUGUCUUCACUGCACCUAGCGCACGACAUUACAGUUUACAAGCUGACCGUUGCCCGACCGAAAACCAUGGAGAUUUUUCAACUUCACUAUGUUUCUUUGCUUCCUUUGCCAAAUCUCAAAGAAUAUCUACUAAAUUGACAUGUAUGACUGACUAGUAAAUAUGCAGUAAAAAUGACUUAAAUAGCAUGUUUCUCAGAAGUGCACAUUUUUUUUUAGAAAAAGAAGGACCAUCCCUAGCCUCUCUGCAUAAUUAUGAUGCACACAACCAUAUACUAUUGAACCGCGAUACCGAAGUACAUGAUGAACAAACCACAACCGGUGAAAAUAGAAAUAUAUUCCCAUGCACAUAACAUAUCACUAUUCAAAUCAGUUGUAUUUAUCCCGUGAAGCCAUCUCCCACUUGUUAAGAAAGUACACAUAUCAUCUUACAAGUGAAACCGAAUGCCCAGUAUAAAUUGAAGCAUCUUAUAAGGUUUACAAGCAUAAUUAAGAAGAUACUCCCUCUUGUUUUUAUUCUUUAUAUUAGCUUUGUCUUAAGCCAAACUUUAUAAAGUUUGAUUGGGUUUACAUAAAACAUUAUGAACAUUUGUGUCGUGUCAUGUCUUGCAUAAUUUAACCGGUCAUGCAUCAUAUUAGGGGGUGCAUCAUGUCUUGCAUGUGUUGUGGUGAAUAUGUGUAUUGAUUCUUAUUUCCGGUUUGCUUUGUCUCGAUAGAGUUUCACAAGCGUGUCUGAAUGUGAGGAUCCGUUCGACUACGUCGGUUCGUCUGCUUCACGGAGUCGUUCUUCUUCCAAGCGGGAUCUCAGUCAAGAUGAUCAUUUCCCUAGAUACCAUUGCUAUCAUUUUCAUGCUAGUUGUUUCGUUUCUAUCGUUAUGUCUCGUUGCCUUCCACCUGUUAAAUAUCAGCUCCCAACAUUGUCAUGAAAACCUUCAACCUAAUCACAACCUAGCAAACCACUGAUUGGCUAUGUUACCGCUUGCUUAACCAUGUGUUAGCGUUCCUAGUUGCAGGUGCAGUUGCUUCAAUGUGAUAACAUGGGUUCCUUGUUAUAUCACCAUGUUAAGGCUAUUUAAUUUAAUGCACCUAUAUACUUGGUAAAAUGUGGAAGGCUUUCUAGCCUGGUGUUUUGUUCCACCUUUGCCGCCUUAGUUUCGGAUACCGGUGUUAUGUUCCGUAAAUGAGCGCUCUUAACAUGCUUGGGGUUGUUAUGCCCCCCCCCUAGAUUCUCGUUUUAGGUAAAGCUCGUCUGGCAAGGCCCAACAUUGAUACUAUAUUUGCCCAACAUAAUAAUCCUGAUAAUAUUGAAAAACAUAGGGCGUCAUGAACCCGAGGAGUAAUUCAACAUAAUACAGGGGGGCCAGUGCUGAUGAUGUUGGUCCCAAAUGGACUGCCUGCAGGGCCACCGCGAGGAAACUCGAGGUUUGGUUUUACUCGUAGCUAGUCCCAUCCGGUUGUGUUCUAAGAACGAGAUACGCGGCUCCUAUCGGGUUCGUCGACACGGCGGACGGCUGGAUUUGUUUUACCUUUCUCGAGCGUCUUUUGCGAGGGAUUUCGAGGAUGCUUUGGGUUAUCUCGAGGUUGAGGUUUUCCAAUAGGAACCCGAUGAGAUCACGGGUUUCCCUGAUCGAGGUCAUUCCAUCGCAGCGUGUGGUAGUUUGUGAUGGACUAGUCGGAGCAUCCCUUCAGGGUUAAAUCUUUCGAAAAGUCGUCCCGCGGUUAUGUGGCAACGUGGAAACUUUAUUUAACAUCCGGCUCUAGAUAACUUGAAAUAAACUUAAGUAAAACUUGCCAACUGAGUGUGUAACCGUGACUGUCUAUUUCGUGAGCUCCUUCUCCGAUCAAGGACACGGUGGGGUUAUGUCUGACGUAAGUAGGUGUUUAGGAUCAUUCAUUUGAUCAUCAAUAGUCCACGUCCACUAUGCGUAGACCAUCCCCCUCUUUUAUUCUUGUACUCGUAAGUUAGCCACCAAAUAAAUGUUUAGUCGUUUGCUGCAGUCUCACCACUUAACCAUACCUCACCCAUUAAUCUUUGCUAGUCUUGAUACCUUUGAAAAUGAGAUUGCUGAGUCCCUGUGACUCACAGAUUACUACAACACCACUUGCAGUUACAAGUAAAGAGUUACUUUGACGUGAGCGCGCUGAUUGUGCUAUUUGAAGUUUCUUCUUCUUCAUCAUCGAUCUAGGAUGGGUUCGACGACGACAGCCUGGGAUAGCAAGGAUGGACGUCGUUCUUUUAUCGUUUGUUUUCGUCCAUAGACGAACCCUGCUCUUCUUCAUGAUGAUUGUAUGUAUUGUACUGAUGUGACUCUGAUGUAGCUUGUGACGAGUGUAAGCCAACUCCUUAUACUCAUCUUUUCAGUACAUGUACUUGUAACGAUAUCCAUUAUUGCGAAAAGACGAGAUGCGUUUCUAUCCCUGUCGAGGCCCUCGCGUCAAAAUAAGGAUAUGACCACAUCUUGAACGUUACAAUAACCUUUCUAAGUAUGAGCAUUACUGUUUUAAUUUUUUAUUAUGUAUCAAGCUUAGUCUUCAAUAAAUAUGUGUACCAGAAAAACCUGGUUCUCAAGAUUAUGUAUCAAGUGACCAACUUGUUAAGCUAGGCUCGAUCCUGUUGGAUAAAGCUGACCUCAGGGCCGGCCCUGGGAAUGUGAAGCCGGUGCGGCUACACAGGACCCUCAAAGGGGAAGGCCCCUCCCAUCAGCCAUCUUAAUUAAGAGCCCUAGAAAAGUCAAUCUUAGUUAGAUAGUAAAAAACGUACACACAUCUUUCGUAAGAGCAUCUCCAACAGCCACGCAAAAAGGCACGCGCGCAGGGUAAACGGAUAUUUUAGCACGCGCGUGACAGUUUGGCGCGCUCCAGCGACGGCGGGAAAAACGCGCGCGGGAACUGCUUGCGCGCGCGCGAAAAGGCGGCAGCUCGCGCGCCAUCUUUGCCGCGCCGCUUCCCGCGCGCCUAUAAAACGCAGCGCUCUCCACCGCUCCCUCGCGCGCCGCCGCCGCUCUCUCUUCCUCUACCUCGCGCGCCGCCACCUCCGCCGACGCGCCACUAUGCCGCCGCGCCGUCGUUCUGCGUCGGGCUACCGCGGCGUCCGCGAGCGCCCCAACGGCAGGUUCUACGCCGAGAUACGCUCCGGCGAUCUCCGGCUCAGCCUCGGCACGUACGACACGGCGCACGAGGCCGCCCGCGCGUUCGACGCGGCGGCGUGGCACCUAGGCAGGCCGCGCCGCCAGAUGAACUUCCAGGACGUCCACACGCUCCAGCAGGCGCUGGACGUCGCCCCCCGCCUCGUCUAAACUCCGCACAAGACCGUGCGGAGCACACUGCGCGGCAGCGCCGCCUCCUCGUCGCCCAGGAGGACGAGCGGGUCAUGUCGGAGUGGCACCGGCGCCACCCGGAGGACGUCGCCUACGAGCAGGAUUAUUGGGCAAGGCGCCGCGAGGAGGACACGCGCCGGCGCCGCGAGGAGCGGUUGGACAGGCGUCGGCGGAAGUCAUUGGCGAGUGCGCAUGCCGACAUCGUCGUAUCAGGCGGGAGGUCCUUCUUCACUGAAGAAGAUGACCGUUGGUUGGACAUCUGGCUGUCAACCUUUGACGACACCAACGACGAUGACGAUGGUGGUGAUGAUUGGAGCGACUGGGAUUAAAUAAAAGUUUUAUGUAUUCGAACUAUCUAUCUACUUGCACCGAACUAUCUAUCUAUAUUUUUGAACUAUCUAUCUAGUUGCAAUCUAUGUAAAAUAACUUUGUAUUCUUUUUUAUUUUAUGCAAUCUUUUUAUUUUAUCAAUUUUGCAAUUGAAAAUGUUGUACGCACGCUGCAUUUUUACGCGCUACUGGAGCGGUGCGUGCGCUGCAUUUUAACGCUGCUGCUGGAGCCAGCGCUGCGCGACGCGUCAAACCAUACGAUGAGCGCGCGGUAAACAGAUUUUUAGACGCGGCACGAAACGGGGCUGUUGGAGAUGCUUAAUGUAAGUAAAUAACAACACCCGCGAAGUGCUAGAAAUCAUCAGAGGAGGCCCUUGACGCGACAGCGAGUGGACGUGUUGCUGAGUUGUCAUAUCCAUUAAGCCAGCGCUCAACGAGCGAACACCAACAUAUGCCAUACUUUUUCUUAAACUUAGCAUUCUCACUAAUUAGUUUGUGUUUUUCCGGGCAAAAAAGUGGAUUAGUUUGUGCUUUGUCGUGCACUUUGAAACAUUUAGUGAAAAGCUAUGACGCAUACUUACCCAGUAGUAAUUGUAAUACAUAAAGCAUUAAGCACCUGAUUUCAUGAUGCAUUACAUUUUGAGUACAGUACUAAUUAAAAUAAGAAAAAACAAGUGUUCCUAUACGUGUUACAUACACAAAGGGCCCUCCUUAUCGUCUUGCACUAUGGGCCCUGCCCUGUCAGGACCGGCCCUGGCUGACCUUUGUGCUUGGAAUUUCUUCAGCCGCUGGCCACUUGAGCGGAGCGAUACCGCGUGCUGGUUGCUUUCAGGGGAGCAAGAAAGUCAAGAAGCCCUGGGAAUGAAACGCGCUGAAGAUGUGCCUACCUUGCGUGUCACGUCGCGAGUUCGCACACUAAUUUUUUUGGGGCGAGUUCGCACACUAAGGCCUCGUUUGGUUAAGGGGGAUUGUGGAGGUUUUGACAGAAAAGUCCCCGGUAAGGUCAGAAACCUCACAGAUCCUCGAGCGUCCAUUUGGUAAGACGGGUUUGCUUAGCCCAAUCCCCUCUGUUCCCCUUCAAUCCAUUCCUAUCCAUGUGUUUCAAAACCCUCCUCGGGGACUAGUGAAAGCAAAACCCCAGGGAUUUAAGAGGAUUGGGUGGAACAAAGGGAUUUAUCCAAUCCCCUGAAAUCCCUCCCUCUCAAAACCUCCCCAAUCCCCCUUAACCAAACGAGGCCUAAUUAACCAAUUGUUCGUCACGGCAGCAAGUUGAUCGCGGGAGGAGACUUGACUUGGACUAGCAAGGUCUGUGGGAGAUCCAUCAUGGAGCUAAGAUUAGAUUAGGAACGCUUUUGCUAUGGUUGCACUUUGUUCGUAUGACAUGACCGUCUUCCUUUUCUUCUCUCUUCCCUUGAGAAUCUUUACUACGACGAUUACCCCUCAAUCAGAGUAGAAAUAUAUUUUUCCAUGCAGCACACAUGAUAUAGACUUUUGCACUCAUCAUAUAUAGAGGUUAAGCGUAAAUGUUAUGCAACUUGAAGCAUGCAGAAUCCUCUGGUGGACAAACGGGUUUCUGAUAAACACGAAAUGCUUAGUAUAUAUUGAUUUGACAAGAACGGGGCCUUAAUAUAUACCACGAUAACACAAGCAAGGACGGACGGAUCGGACCAUAAUACUUGCUGACCCAUCCCUCCUUUUUACAGCACCAUACACAAGCACACAAUCAAACCCAAACAAGCAAACAUUAACACAACCUGAAGAGUGAAGACCUGGCUACGACGAUCCACCGGACCAGCUCGAGGAGAUGAAGACGCAGCCGCAACAUAUCAGGAGGUUGGCACUUAAAAACAUUCGCAACCUCCCGAGAUGCCGGCAGCUGAGGCUUCAACACCAACAACCAGCGGCAAGAAGAUCGCGGAGACGGACCCGGCUCAAGACGCAGAAACUAGGGAUGGAGAGAGACCAGUUGCGACCUCAAAUAAGGCAACUGAAUCCGUCCAUCACUGACGAUCACACGACGACGACGGAGAAGUAGUGGUGGUAGUAUUUUGAUCCGGCCUCUGCUGCGUGCACUAAAAUGAGCACAGAGUAGCAGCAGAGGACGGCUGAGAACACAUGGAUCGACCGAGCAGGUGAAGGGGAACGGCGGGUGGUUCACUUGGCGUCGGAGUCGGCGGCGUCGGCGGCGGCCGGGAGACCGCCGGCGCCGGCGCCGCCGUUCUUGUCGGCGCGGACGAGCCCGGCAGCCAGGCUGGCGACCGCGGCGACCACUUCCUUGAUGAUCUUCCCCUUGAUCUGGCCGCGCCUCGGCGUGCUCCCGGUCGUCGGCGCCUUGUUGCCGCCGGAACCGGCAGGCCCUCCCGCCGCGGGCAUCGCCGGUGCUUGAGCCUGGUAGCCCUUGGUGGCCAUUCUUCCGGCGGGAGAGGGGAGAGGUUGGUGGAUUCUUUCGCCGUACGUCGAGGCUGUGUAUGCUCCAGGCCGCGGUCCGAGGGCGGACUAAAUAGGCGGCUGUGUGGUGUGGGCACUCGGCGGUGAGCAGAGGGAAAAGUUCAGGCAUGGGCCCCAAAAGCGUAUAUGGCGGGCUCGGGUUCUACUGUACCGGCCAGGAGCAUGCACGUCUCAGUGGCAGGUGGGGUAGCCCGGUGCCAUGUGGGGACGUGCGAGUGACUCAGCACGGCAGAAAGCCAGAAAGCGUGCAUAUCCAAAUUUUGGACGGCCGGUUGUGGGCCCGCUUUGUACUUUCCAGGUUGGGUGCUGCUGCUAGUGGCAGCUCUCGACGGCUUGGAUGGCAAGUCAUCAGUAUGUUUCUGGAAGAAAUCUGUGGACGUAUCGCGUUCUCGUUCGUGAAGUCGUCACCCACUGAUGUUGGGGGUGAUGCAGGCAAAUCAUGGGAAGAAGCAGAUUGGAUCCGCAUCUUCAUGUGCAGACGUGCUCUCGCUUUCAUGCCACAGUGCUAUAGCUUGAGGUCGUGUUUGUUUCAGAAGUCCCGGGACUUUUUUUAGUCACAACUUAAAAGUCCCUGGUCCCUACCCGUUUGUUUCCAUGGACUAAAUAAAGACUAGAGGUUAUUAAAUGACAUGUAUAAAAACCAUGUUACCUUUAGUAAUGUAGUACUCCAUCCGUUCCAAAAUAUAAGACCUUUUAGAGAUUUCACUAGGAGAAUACAUACGGAACAAAAUGAAUGAAUAUAUACUUUAAAAUAUGUCUAUGUACAUCCGUAUGUAGUUCAUAGUGCAAUAUCUAAAAUGUCUUAUAUUUAGGAACGGAGGGAGUAGUAGUUAUUAAAUGACAUGCUAAAAGUAAGGAGCAUUGUUGAAAAAAGUGCCAAAAAGUCUCAAAAAAAACCCUUCCAUAGGGACUUCUCCAAAUAGUCCCAAAUACCUCCUUUUAGUCCCUAAAAGUCGCUCCUCUUUGUUUCACAUGGGACUUUUUAGGACUUUUUUUUAGUUCCUACACCAAAAAGUCUCUGAAAACAAGCACCCUCUGAGAUGUGGAUGGGGCGGCCGGCCGGUUGGCACCUCCAAAGCAUAAAUGCACAUUCACAUUACACGUUGAUGUUAGUAGCUGCUACUUCGGUGAUAAGCUUCCACGCCCAAGUUCUCAGUCUUCGGGUUUACUGAGAGCAUCUCCAACAGCCACGCUUCGCGCCGCGUUUAAAAAAUGUGUUUGUCGCGCGCCUAAAAAAUGAUUUAGCGCGGGGAUAGGCGCUGGCUCCAACGUCCGCGCUAUAGUACAGCGCGCGCGCCGUUCCAGCAGCGUCCAAAAAUGCAGCGCGCGCAGCACGCACAAACCACAUGUACAUUUCAGAAAAUAGGAGCAAAAAAUGAUCAAACAAACAAAAUAAAUCAACAAUAAAUAGUCAUUACAACUCAAACAAAUAGUUUAUCGUUCAGUACAAUAAAUAAUGCAAUAAACACAACCAAUAGUUCAUGAACAAUACAAUACAAAUAUGUAAUAAACACAACAAAAUCAUGCUCUUUGUCGUCCAUGCCAUGCCCACCACUCUUCAAUCAGAUCCUUCUGAAGAUCAUUGUGCGUUGCGGAACGCCGAAUGGCAUGAUAGGAGGCAACAAAACGGGCUACCCUUUCAGCCCUCCGUCGCACUCGCACGGGAUGUCCCAAGAGCUCAUACUGUGAGUAGUCUAAAUCUUGGCCACGCUCAUUCUCGAUGAUCAUGUUGUGCAUGAUCACACAAGCGUGCAUGAUGUACCAAAGCAUUUUUUGAUCCCAAAAUCUAGCCGGUCCUCUCACAAUAGCAAAUUGGGCUUGCAAAAUCCCAAAUGCUCUCUCCACAUCUUUUCUAGCAGCCGCCUGAGCAUUGUGGAAAUCAAGAUUUUUCUUACCUUCUGGCUUUUUCAACGGCUUCACGAAGGUUUGCCACCUUGGAUAGAUGCCAUCCGCUAGAUAAUAGCCAUAGUUGUACGUACGGCCAUUUGCUACAAACUGCACCGGUGGCAACUCACCAUUUGCAAUCUUAUUCAUCAGUGGUGACCGUUGACAACAUUGAUGUCAUUCAAAGAUCCAGGCAUUCCAAAGAAUGCAAGCCAAAUCCAAGUCUCCUGAUCGGCCACCGCUUCAAGGAUUAUAGUGGAACCCUUUUUUUGCCGUGGAAUUGCCCAUGCCAUGCCUUUGGACAAUUCUUCCAACUCCAAUGCAUGCAAUCUAUUGAUCCAAGCAUGCCAGGAAAGCCGCGAGAUUUGUUCAUCGCCAAUAGCCUUGCGGCGUCUUCAGCAGUGGGAGAUCUCAAAUACUCCUCACCAAACACUUGCACAAUUCCCACUGCAAAGCGCUUGACACACAUGAUGGCUUGGCUCUCAUCCAUAGCCAAGUGAUCAUCAACUAGAUCAGCCGGGAUACCGUAUGCCAACAUACGCAAAGCGGCUGUCACCUUCAGAAAGGUGCUAUGCCCAAGCUCUCCGGCGACAUUCCUCCUUUGCUGGAAAAACCGGUCAUGGCUCGCUAGUUUCUCUGCAAUGCGCUUGAACAAGUCUGUGCUCAUCCUAAAUCGGCGACGAAAAUACGACUCCGGGUAUGUGGGAUUCUCCACGAAAUAGUUCUUCAUCAAUUUGUUAUGGGCAUCAAUCCUAUCUCUCCAAAUUUUCUCCCGACCCAUAACCGAACCAUCGUGCUUCGGUUUUUUAUUGAUAUGCAUAGCUAUGAUCAUUGCAAGAUCCUCCUCCUCUUCCAUAUCAAAUUCUUCUUCGGAAGAAUCAUAUGACGAACUCAUCUACAAUGUUCAGUACUAUACUAUAAAAAAUACAAUUCAAAACAUGCACCAAAUUCAUAAGUUUGGAGCAAUACAUACCUUGUAGGCGUUUUGUCGGACACCUUGCGGGCGCGGCGCGACAGCGAGCGCUCGGGCGCUGUUCCUCGGACGUCGGAGGCGCGCGAGGGCCGGUGGGACUAGGAGGGGUUGGGGCGGAAGCGCGGCGGCGCGGGGAGGCCGGGGAAGCGCCUGAACGGUAGCCGGGGGGCACGGGCGGCGGCCGCAGCGGAGACAGGCUGGGGAAGCGCCUGCGUGGUCGCCGGUGGGCGCGGGCGGGAACGGCGGCGCGGGGAUAGGCCGGGGAGCGCCUGAACGGUCGCCGGGGGCACGAGCGGCGGCGGCGGGGCGGCCAGAAGGGGGUGGCAGUGGGGAGCGAGAGCGCGAGAGUGGAGGAGCGAGCGCGGGAGAGUCGCGCGCGCGGGAGCUGGCGCAACAAAUAAGGGGCGCGUGAUUGCGUUUCGGCCAGCGCGCUGAACUGAAAAUGCCGCGCGCGCCGUUUUUGCGCGCCCGCUGGAGCUGCCCGCCGCGUUGCGCGCGCUAAAACUGCCUUUUUUGCGGCGCGACGCUAGUAUAGCGCGGCUGUUGGAGAUGCUCUGAGUCAAUUUGUAUUAAGAUCAGACUCAUGGCUCCCCGUUGCCAUGUGACAGUUCUGAUCUGGCCUUGUUGUCCAUGGCAAUAUUAGUUAUCGUAAAUGACGGCAGGCUUGCAAGCUUCUGGCAUGAUCGAUGGGUGCAGGGCACCUGUCCUAAGACACACGUGUCGAUCCUGUACAAUAUUUUCAUUCGAAAAAAUCGCUCGGUACUUAGGAAUGCGCUGCACAACGAACGGUGGCUCCACGACCUUGCACACGGGCUAACAUAAUGGAUGGAGGAGAAGUUGUCUCAUCUUGCCUCCCUCCUUGAUCGUGUCCUUCUAGUCGAGGGCACGACUGAUAAGAUUGUUUGGAGAUUCAAUUGGAGCCAAGAAUACUCUGCUAGCUCUGCCUACCUUGUGCAAUUCACAUGAUCGGUGCAACAGAGGCGGUAGACUGUGUGGACUGGCUGGACGUCCGGCAAGAGGAAGGGCGUCUUGUCGCUGCUACACCUAGCCACGUGAGAAUCAUGGGACGAACACAACCGACAAAUAUUUCAGGACAGACGUAUGGACAUGCGCAUUUUCACGCAAUGACUUAGGGAUGAAAUUGCCUUAUGGAACAUGGCAGGUUCUUAGAUUCCUUUUGACCCAGACUACUUAUCAUUGUAUUUGUGUAUUUCUUUGCACUCAUUUGGUGAGAAUUACACACUUUUUGGAGGACCACCUACUAUAUUGGCUUUCUAAAUUUUUCGUCAAUUUUGGCAAUCGAUGCCAAUGGGGGAGAAGUUUAGAGACUUUACUUUAGAUAUGUUUAGAGGGUUUUGCUUUUAUUGUGUAAGCAUUUACAUCUUGCACGCAUGCAUUAUUGCUUUGUAUGUGUGCACUUGGUUGUGCUUAUUUCCUUAUAUAAACUCUCUUAAAGUGGUUAUCAUCAAUUACCAAAAUGGGGCAGAUUGUUAGAGAAUAUCUCUCCAUAUGUGGUUUUGGUAAUUGAUGACAAUUCCUAUGGACUAAUGGUUGCCUUAAGUUAUAUUUAUAGGAUUUGUCCACAUGCACUUCUUGAAGUCCAUCUGUUGGGCUCAAGGAGUUUAUAUGAUGACCAAGGUGAUAUUCAAGGUAUUAUCCANNNNNNNNNNNNNNNNNNNNNNNNNNNNNNNNNNNNNNNNNNNNNNNNNNNNNNNNNNNNNNNNNNNNNNNNNNNNNNNNNNNNNNNNNNNNNNNNNNNNNNNNNNNNNNNNNNNNNNNNNNNNNNNNNNNNNNNNNNNNNNNNNNNNNNNNNNNNNNNNNNNNNNNNNNNNNNNNNNNNNNNNNNNNNNNNNNNNNNNNNNNNNNNNNNNNNNNNNNNNNNNNNNNNNNNNNNNNNNNNNNNNNNNNNNNNNNNNNNNNNNNNNNNNNNNNNNNNNNNNNNNNNNNNNNNNNNNNNNNNNNNNNNNNNNNNNNNNNNNNNNNNNNNNNNNNNNNNNNNNNNNNNNNNNNNNNNNNNNNNNNNNNNNNNNNNNNNNNNNNNNNNNNNNNNNNNNNNNNNNNNNNNNNNNNNNNNNNNNNNNNNNNNNNNNNNNNNNNNNNNNNNNNNNAUCAUCACGAAGAUAUCAUGCUUGAAGCUUGCCAUCCAUUUUGGUGGCAAUGGACUUGUGAAGAUAUGCUGAAGAGCGGCUCACCCAUAGUGUGUAUGGGGAGAAAUCAACUAGUCUUCAUGAAGCCAACGCAAUCAAGAAAGGUGGUCCAUCUUGAGGAAGCUAAGAUCAUCGUCAUCUAGCUCAAGAGGACGAGGUGCAAGGUAUAGGUUUGCCCUUGAUAGGUUUUCUGUUUUAGGAUAGAUUGUCGUACUGUCAUGGGGGGUUCUCAAGUGAGUAGCUUGAUCGUAUCGUCCGUUGAGAGCUCAAACCAUUUGCAUCCUUGCAUCAUACUUCUUGGUUCUUGUUUGGUGUUUCUCUCUUUUAGUUUUAGAGCUUAUCGUCAUCUUCAUUACAAGUUCGAGUUCAUCGAAAACGGAGUCCAUAUGCAUCUUCUAUGAUGUUUUCGAUGUUGGGAGUUUUUACCGGUCUUAUUCGAGGAAGGGUUCUCACCAUUUUCUUAUGGGAUUUUUCUCACUUUCUUCUUAUUGAUAUUUCUCUCAAGAUUGUGUUAGCCCAUGUCUUUAGCUCUCCAACAAACUUGGUUUCAUUGAAUUCGGAGUCCGUAUGCGAAAGUUAAGACAGUUUUGGUGGCGAGCAGUAGUACCGCUUGUGUCGAGCGGUAGGACCGCUCCACCGGACUUUAUUUGCGCAUCCCUUUUGCCUCGGCAUGGCUGGUGAACCUACCGAGCGGUAGUACCGCUCCCAUGAGUGGUAGUACCGCUCCGUUGUACUUUAUUUGUGCAUCCUUUUUGCCUCAGCAUGGCUGGUGAACCUACCGAGCGGUAGUACCACUCCCAUGAGCGGUAGUACCGCUCUGUGCGGCUGUGAAGCAUAACAGUUGGUUUUUUCCCCACCUAUAAAAGGGGGUCUUCUUCCUCAUUGAACCUUAUCUCUUCAGCUCAUGUUCUUCCCCCAUUGUUGACCUUCUUCGAGCUUGCUAACUCUAAAUCCCUCCAAUGGUUCUUGCUAGUUCUUGAGGGAAAAGAGAGAGGAGAUCUAGAUCCGCAUCUCCACCAAUCACUUUCUCCUCUAUGUGAGGGGAACCCCUUGGAUCUUGAUCUUGGAGUUCUUUGUGAGCUCCUUGUGCUUCCUCUCAUAUUUCUCCAUAGCUUUUGUUGUUGUGUGGUGGGGGGAUUUGAGUGUGAGGGACUUGUCCACUUCGUGCGUUCUUGCCAUUGCAUUUGGUGCAUAGGUUUGAGUUCUCCACAAUGAUACAUGGAAGUGAAGUUUGAGAAGUUUAUUACCUUUUGGUACUUAGUACCCUAGAGAUUGUUCUUCGUGGAUGCUUUGGCGUCCUAGAAGCUUGGUGGUGUCUCGGAGUGUAACAUCCCAAAUUUUGGAAUGUUAAUAUAAUUAUUAUAUUGUUUGUUUGUUUGCUUGAGUGAUUGAAACUUGAGUGAAAUUUGAAACUUUUCAAGAACUUUUGAAUGAGAGGGAAUAAAAUGACUUUCCCCUUCUCCGGUAAAUUCAAAUUCAAAAGCAAUGAGAGAAGAUGACAUGACUUCUUCAACUAUAAAUUUUUUUUGAACGGAGUUUGCUUUUGAAUCCUUUCAAAAUAUUUGGCCUUGCUUUUAUAUUUUUUCUUCCUCGAGAAAAUGCCCCGACAAAAUUCUUGCACGCAAGAAAGAGCGGAGGAAAAUGACCCUCCAAAAUGUGAGGCAUUUCUAAAAUAUUUUGAGCCAAGAAGACCCAAGUUUUAUGGAGAAAUUAAUUGCCAAAAAGAAAAUAAAGCCUUAGGAUUUUUUCUGAAAAAAACAUUUUUUUUAAAAGUUUUUAUUUUGGUUUUGGAAACAUGAUAAUCAAUUAGGAAAUAUUUUUCUGAUCGAUUUGGUAUAUAAUACCCCAUAUAAAUCUUUUUAUUUGUUUCCUUUUAUUAUUUUUCCCUUCCUCUUAAAAAAAACAAAUCGGGAGAUUGCGUGGGCGAGAUCCCCAAAUCACUGGGAGAGAAUUCCCAGGGAACCAGAUCGCUGACCAACCACCCCCACGCAGCGCACCCCUUCCUUCUUUAUUUUUUUUUCUUUCUUUCUCUUUCCUUUUUUUUUCUUUCCUUCUUUCUUCUCCUUUCCUUUUCUUCCCCACGUGACUUCUUCCUUCCCCAGCGACCAGCCCCUCCAUGGCGCACCUCCUGCAACCUCCUGGAUCGCUGGGAUCCUUUCCUUCACUUGCCCCCCUUCCUUUCCUCGCCCCCCUCUCCCCCUACAAAAGCCGCCACCUCGAGCCCCCCCUCGACCCCUCGCUCCACGCCGCCUUGUCCACCCACUGCCCUCGUCGGAGAAGCUCUAGUAGAACGCCCCCGCCACCCUACCGCGCCACCGCCCGCCUCCUCGCCCCAACCGAGACCACCAUCGAGCUUGCCCCGUCCACCGCGCUCCAUUUUCGCCCCUAGCCCAAGCUUUCGCCGCUCCUCGCCACUCCCCUCGCCUCGCCGGAGUUCGGCCGGAUAGGAACUCCCCGGGCGCUUCCCCGACCGCCCCGACUCCCCUUCGCUUCGCCGACGACGCCGUUCGACGGAGGAGACUCGCCGCCACCCUCCUCCAUCGCACCCCCACCCCCGCCGGCGACCUCCCCACCUCGCCGGAGCAGCUACCUCGCCGGAGUUCUUCCUGUGUGUCACCCAUGGUGAGAUUCACGAAAUCCCGUAUUGCAGUUUUUUUCUUCAGAAAAUUGUAAUCUUAGAAAAUUCAUAUCUAUUAGUAUAUAACUCCGAAUUAGGUGAUUCUUUUUGACUUGGAUCACAAAUUUUAUGUAGUUUCUGUAGAUAUAUAAUUUGGCUAUAUUUGGAUUUAUCAAAUUUGAAUUAGAUCAGAUUUGAUUUAAAGCUUGUUUUGCUUAUACCGGGAGUUUAAAAUAGCUUUUAAAUUAAUUCUUUUUGCUACUGUUUCCUAUUGAUCAUAUCUUUCAGUAGUUUAAGUUUCAAUUUUUUUAAAUAAUUUUACUUAGGGUUUUAAGCAAAACAGAUUCUGUUUUAGCCUUUUUUGUUUUCUUGCUAUUUCUUUUGUAUUAUUUGUUCUUAAUUUGUUUUUUUGUAAUUGUGACAAGUUAUAUUUUGUUUUCUGAUAUUUACCAGUAACUUUUCAACAACAACAAAAUUUUAUUUUAUUUAUUAUUAUUUGUUUGCAUGGAAUCAAUUCUAGUUCUAUACUAACUUGCGGAUUGAUUGCAUUGCUAGUUUGAUUUCCUAUUUUGAAAAUACUUAUAAAAUAAUAUUGUUUUGUAAAUUUUACUUCUGUUAUCUUAGUUAUUUUAUAUUUUGCUUUCUUUUAUUUUUCUAUUUUAGUGUUUUAUUUCCGGUUAGAACAAAAACUAUAUAGUGUUUGAUGUAGUAGAAGGCUUCCUAGCUUCUUUCAAGUUUCCUUUGGAUUUUUAUCCGCUCUCUAUUAUUGAUUUUUGAUUGCAUCAACUUUCAUUGCUGUUUGUUAAUUGAUUGCAAGAAUGAUUUCUAGUGUGAGUGCUUAUGUGAAUACUAUGUUUGAUUAUAUAGAUUUCAUCGGAGAGUGACGAAUAGUUCUAUCAUGUAUUUCCCGAGAACGAAAAUUCUUCUUCGUCAACAUCACCAGGCAAGUCAUUUGAUCAUGUAUCACCUAUGUUUUAUGCAUCGUAGUUCUACCAACCUAUGCCCAUUUGCAUGCUCACUAGGUACUUGGAAAUUAUGGUUACAUAUUGUAGUAUCAUGUGGUAGGCACCCAACAACCCCGUUACUAGGCCCGGGACGACAAAUUUUAUAUUGCUAUGCUUGAGUAGACGGGAUUCUGGUUGAGAGUUUAUCACGAGUGAUGCGAGGAUACUUUAAUAACCAAGACCAGUUAAGUCAAGACUUUUCAAGACCUCGUGAUGCAAUGCAACUCUGGGUGAAGGACGGUUGAUCGGCUCCCUGGAGAAACCAGUGGAUGACCCGGGAUGCUGGAGACGGCCAUGACAUCUUGCGGAAAGCUUCACCCAGGCUCAAAGAGACGGACGGAUAUUUUCAAGACCCAAGGCUUACCUGCACAGCCACAAGUCAUUAUGGGCUCUAGCUUGGUUGGACAACACGGCGACUCUGGACAGGCGGUGCUAGCAGAUGUAGAAGAACGGUAGGAAUGGAUGGGCACCGACAGGGAUUCAGAGGGACCCGUUGAAAGAGCAUGUUUUGAUCAUCCGGUCUUCAAACACCCUGAAGUGCGAGGACAUACACGGAGGGGAUCAAAUCUUGUGGGAACGUGUGCAAAACUCUGCAGAGUACUCAAACCUAAUCGAUUAGCCGUGUCCACGGUCAUCGACAACUUGAGCCAAAGGAACUGAAGUUAUCUGAAAUUCUCAACACAAAUAAUAAUAUUGAUGAGGGUAUUAUUGACAACAUGGGUACGAGAAUUGGUUGGUGGAACCAUCUCGUUAACAACCAACAAUGUAGUAACAUUUUGCUUUUAUCGCUCUCUUGAUGUAGGAGAAAACUUGCUUUUAGCUAAAAACUUAUAGCCCCACCUGCCAUAUAUGCAUAUAGUAUAGAUGAUUACUUUUCACCCCUCUGUUAUGUGACUUGCCGGCAUAUUCAAUAUGCUGACCUACACGGGUGCAACGUCUUAUGUUGCAGAUAUUUUUCUUCGACGAGUAAGAGUACGAUUCAGGGUUACGGUCCACACUCAACUUGCCGUUGGUGUUUAUUGGGACUCCACUCCGUUGACUGCUUCCGCUGAAAUAUUUAAGGUAUAUAUCAGUUUUACGCUAUUUACAUGUGAUUGCACUUUGAUAUAUACAUUGAUGUACUGUGUGUGCCAGCAUACUGAUCAGGGGAUGGCACAGAAACAUAGAGGCUUGACUCGUUUUGAGUCGGGUCGCUACAGAAAUGGUAUCAGAGCACAUGUUGACUGUAGGACGUGACCCUAGAAACUAGAAUUUCUUAGGAUAGGAUCUCUCAAAAAAUCUUAUUUUCGAGAACACCUUUCACUUCUCAUCUCUUCUGAUUUCAUCAAAUGUUCCCUCUCACCUCAAAUAGUUAUACAAUCCCCUUACCCCUUUGACCUCAUGAAGAAUCAACGGAGUUCUACUUCAAAGUAAAGAGGAUUUCACCAUGCAUUUGAAGAAUUGAAGCUACACCCAUUUAAGACUCUCAAGACCUGAAGAACU